RNAcentral lists this ribosomal RNA (158 nucleotides) under uncultured bacterium. Its description in RNAcentral is "partial 16S ribosomal RNA". It matches the Rfam family "Bacterial small subunit ribosomal RNA", at positions 355 to 509 of the family's 1533-position model. The record is from RNAcentral.
UGAGGAAUAUUGGUCAAUGGGCGGAAGCCUGAACCAGCCAAGUCGCGUGAGGGAAGACGGUCCUAUGGAUUGUAAACCUCUUUUGUCGGGGAGCAAAGCUGCUCACGUGUGAGCGGAAGGAGAGUACCCGAAGAAAAAGCAUCGGCUAACUCCGUGCC